CAAGGAGUCUAGCAUGUGCGCGAGUCAUUGGGAAUCACUAAACCUAAAGGCGCAAUGAAAGUGAAGGUCUUCCUUGCGAAGACCGAGGGAAGACGGGCGGUUCACCCUUAAAAGUGGCCGCUCCGCAUUCCCGGGGCGUCUCGUUCUCAUCGCGAGAAGAGGCGCACCAAGAGCGUACACGCUGGGACCCGAAAGAUGGUGAACUAUGCCUGGUCAGGACGAAGUCAGGGGAAACCCUGAUGGAGGUCCGUAGCGAUUCUGACGUGCAAAUCGAUCGUCGGAACUGGGUAUAGGGGCGAAAGACUAAUCGAACCAUCUAGUAGCUGGUUCCCUCCGAAGUUUCCCUCAGGAUAGCUGGCGCUCGUUGCGCACGAGUCUCAUCCGGUAAAGCGAAUGAUUAGAGGCAUUGGGGUCGAAACGACCUCAACCUAUUCUCAAACUUUAAAUGGGUGAGAUCUCCGGCUUGCUCGAACUUAUGAAGCCGCGAGACACGGAUCAGAGUGCCAAGUGGGCCAUUUUUGGUAAGC
Molecule: ribosomal RNA, 527 nt
Filed under: Ceratopus dorytomoides
Lineage: Eukaryota; Metazoa; Arthropoda; Insecta; Coleoptera; Curculionidae
Description: partial 28S ribosomal RNA
Rfam family: Eukaryotic large subunit ribosomal RNA
Source: RNAcentral